CGCUGGGCACGGACCAGGUCACUGGGACCAGCCUCCAGCCAUGAGAGGAUUUAAAGCUGCGCCCAAGCCCUGGGGCUGCCCCGCACCAUGCGGCUGCUGCUGCUGCUCCUGCUGCUGGGGCUCUGCUGCCUCUGGGCCCGGCUCGUGUCUACCGGACUCACCUAACCCCUGCGUGGACCUGGGCCAAGGACCCAGCCUGUGCGGCCAGCGGACAGACACGGACAGAGAGCGGCCAUGGAGGGACCCACCAGCUGCUGGAUAAGGGCCCGUUCCCCUGCUCCCACCUCCACCCCUCACCCUCAGCUCCCUGCAGAGCACGGGGGUCUCAGUGCCCCCCACCCCCAGUAAACCCUUUCUGCAAUGA
This is a long non-coding RNA of Pezoporus occidentalis (night parrot), 364 nucleotides long. RefSeq lists it as uncharacterized. NCBI's taxonomy places the organism in Eukaryota, Metazoa, Chordata, Aves, Psittaciformes, Psittacidae. The record is from RefSeq and is a predicted model, not a curated record. The transcript has 2 exons.